RNAcentral lists this long non-coding RNA (1628 nucleotides) under Sus scrofa (pig). RNAcentral describes it as "lncRNA (ENSSSCG00035023955.1)". The record is from RNAcentral. Lineage: Eukaryota; Metazoa; Chordata; Mammalia; Artiodactyla; Suidae.
AUUGAAAUCUUUUUCUUAAAUUUUUCAUUACAGUUGAUUUACAAUGUCGGGUCAGUCGCUGCUAUACAGCAAAGUGACAUACGUAUAUAUAUACAUUCUUUUCCUCAUCCUGUCUUCCAUCGUGGUCCAUCACAAGAGACUGGAUAUGGUUCCCUGUGCUAUGCAGUAGGACAUCAUUGCUUAUCCAUUCUAAAUGUAGUAGUUCGCAUCUUAUCACAGGUUUCUUGAGUGUUGUGUAAACACAUCUUUCCAACAAGAUGGAACAGCCCUCAAAGUCUUUGUGCAGUUUCCCACAGUGCUUACACGUAGUACAACUUUCACUAAUUCUUGUUGAAUAAGCAAAUGAAGGGAGUUCCCGCUGUGGCAAAUCGGAAACGAACGGGACUAGUAUCCAUGAGGAUGUGGGGUUGAUCCCUGGCCUUGCUUAGUGGGUCAGGGAUCCGGUGUUGCCAUGAGCUGUGAUAUAGGUCGCAGACACAGCUUGAAUCCCAUGUUGCUGUGGCUGUGGCUAGUUCUUAAAUUCAAGAGACUUUCAUUAUAAUGUAAGAAAAACAGACAUUCAAUAACUACAGUCAGCCCUCUGUAUCUGCAGGUUCUGCAUCCAUGGAUUCAACCAACUGUGGAUUAAAAAUAUUUGGGAAAAAGUUCCAGAACAUUAUAAAAAGUAAAAUUUGAAUUUGCUGCAUGCCAGCAACUAUUUAUACAGCAUUUAUAUUGUAUUAGGAAGUAUAGGUAAUUUAGAGAUUUAAGGUAUACAGGAGUAGGUAUAUAGGUCAUCUGCAAUACUAGGACAUUUUAUAUAAGGGACUUGAGCAUCUUCAAAUUUCGGUACCCAAGGGGAUCCUGAAACCAACCCUCAUGGAUACUGAAGGAUGACUAUAACUGCAAACUAGGGGUCUCAGCGAUUUUGUGUGUGAAGAGGUGUCUGAGAAGUCUUUCUAAUGAAGGGGCACUGGAGCUGAGACUGAAGACUAAGUAGGUUUAGCAGGAGGGAGAAAGGUCCCAGCAAAUGCCAAGGCCCUAAGGAGGAAAUGAGCUCAGCAAGCUUGAGGCACUAAAAGGGGAUCAUUGUGACUGGGCCCAGGUGUCCCCGGGGAGAGAGACAGGAGAUGGCCACCACUACUGCCAAAACACAGAGAAUCCACCCAGUUCUUCUUCUCCCUCAUCUGAGUUAGAGUUCUCUGUCUUUUCAUUUUUAUAGGUUUUUGGUGUGGCGACCUUUUUGCAGACAGUAGAGUUAUAGCCUCUCUUACUUCUAGUGCCUGCCUCCCUUGUGGCUGAAGUCGGUAUGGGGGGCUUGCUGUGGGCUUCCUGAUGGGAGGGACUGGUGCCUGCCCACUGGUAGGUGGGGCUGACUCCUAUCCCUCUGGUGGGUGGGGCUUUGUCCCUAGGUGAGAUUAGAGGAGGCUGUGUGCCUGGGGGGUCUUUAGACGGGGGCGUUUACUGACGGGCGGGGCUGUGAUCCCACUGGAUUGUUGUUUGGCCUGGGGCUUCUCAGCGCUGUUGGGUGGGGCCAGACUUUCCCAAAAUGGCCACCUCCAGAGAAAUGUUCGCUGAUGAAUAUUCCCAGGCGCUUUGCCUCCAGUGCCCUUCCCCACAACAAGCCACAUUCACCCCCUGUUUUCCCA